CUCUCCUUAGCCUGUUUGUGGAGUUGAGACUGUGGAUCAAGCAAAGAGCGUGGUCCUAAAUGCUAUCAGAGAAAGCUAGCAAGAUAAAUGUUGUUUUCCUUUUUUAUUGGUCAUGCUGGGCAUGGCCUAUUAUCUUUAAAUGGACUGAGCAGUUACUGUAGAGAAAAGAACAAGGAUAGUAUCUCUACUCAGGCUUGUUAUAGUCUCCAGGGCAAAGACUGUGAGGCAUGACUGAUAAACAAAGCAACUGCAAAAGCUAAUGUUGCUCCUCUGCAGACAGGACAGAAAAGGCAAAUAUUUAAAAAGUGGUAGUUUGUAAAUUAUGAUCAUCCCCACCCCCCUCAAAAAUCCAUUAACAAGGAAAUUUUUCAGCCAAGUAAACUCUGCCCUAGGAACACAUGUUCAAGAAUUUUUUCAGACUUAACCUAAAUUAAGCAGGUUUCUCAUCAGCCAUUUGGCCAAGAAAGUGUAACCUUACUGCAAAAGGGACUAUGUUGCCAUUCUGAAGAUCUUCUAAACUGCAUAAGAUGAAAAGAUCGUCCCAGCAUGACGAUACUUCUGUUGCUGAGCUUCAGUAGCACAGCCUUAGGCUCCCUUACAGCCAGUGGCGAGAGGUAACUCAUAACCUGCAUAUUUCCCAUCAUCUCCUAGUACUGUUCUCCAUCUAUGGAUUAUUCAUGGCGCUUUGGCCCAAGCUCUUUGGAAAGAAGGGUGCACUAACAUAUGAAAGACAAGUUGGAUACUUCCAUCAAGAAGAUCCUUUCACACCAAGCAGUCACACAAGCUCCCACCUGUGUGCAGCAUGAGGUAGUAAAGAGGCAUCUGCAAGUCUGUCUCAGCCAGUCAGCAGAAAGAGACUGGGCAAUUUUUCCCACUUCAAGAUAUACAAUCGACGCUUUUGAAAAAUUAAAAAUUAAAAACGAAUC
This is a long non-coding RNA of Gallus gallus (chicken), 926 nucleotides long. RefSeq lists it as uncharacterized. NCBI's taxonomy places the organism in Eukaryota, Metazoa, Chordata, Aves, Galliformes, Phasianidae. The transcript has 3 exons. The record is from RefSeq and is a predicted model, not a curated record.